GGCUGAGGAUGGGUUUGCAGGGGCUGCCCCUCCCAUCUCUGCCCCUCGGAGCUGAGCCCAUAUCUAAAACCACAAGGCCCCUCAGCUGCAGUCUCUGGGCUCUGGCUGAUUUGCAUAACCAGCAGGUGUCUCCAGCAAGGGGAUAAGAGAGACCUGGGAGGAACCCUGCUCAGCCUUCGGCCUUGGGGAGCAAAAUCGAGGCACCAGCACCAUGGCCUGGACACCUCUCCUCCUCGGAUUCCUGGCUCACUGCACAGGUUCCAUGGCCUCCUAUGUGCUGACGCAGCCCCCCUCUAUGUCGGUGAACCUGGGACAGACCGCCAAGAUCACGUGUGGGGGAAACAGCAUUGGAGAUAAAUAUUCUUACUGGUACCAGCAGAAGCCAGGUCAGGCCCCCGUGCUGAUUAUCUAUAGUGAUAGCAACUGGCCCUCAGGGAUCCCUGACCGGUUCUCAGGCUCCAACUCAGGGAACACGGCCACCCUGACCAUCAGUGGGACCCGGGCCGAGGACGAGGCUGACUAUUACUGUCAGACCUAUGACAGCAGUGCUGAUGCUCACGGUGACACGGGCAGAUGGGGAAGUGAGACACAAACCCCUUCCCUGUCUGUGUCACACUCUCCUCCAGCCCCAGGAGGCCUGUGCACAUUUCAGGGAGUGGGUCUCACCCUGGUCGCCAGAUUUGAGGUCUCCAUUCCUCUCACCCCGCCAGUGCACCCGACAGGCUCUGCACAAGGUGAAUCAGAGAAGGGAAUGCACACGGUAGUUUUAACUAUGUUUCAUUUCUGACUGUAGGUGAAGGAAUGACUGAACACGUGAGAAGAAGACAUGGAAGAUAUUUUCCAAGAUCAAAUGUUUUAAAACAUCUCUAAAUGAAAUUAUAUGAUCUGAAACACCUUGUGAUGUUGUCAGCAUAUUCAAUGCUGCAAGAGAAGGAAGAGAUUAGUGAACUUGAUUUCAUGGCAAUGAAAAGUCUUCAGUUGGAACAGAAAGAGGAAAGCUGGAAAAAAUGAAUAAAGACCAGUGUGCUUAGGA
This is a non-coding RNA of Ailuropoda melanoleuca (giant panda), 1033 nucleotides long. Lineage: Eukaryota; Metazoa; Chordata; Mammalia; Carnivora; Ursidae. The record is from the annotation of a RefSeq genome assembly.